Long non-coding RNA from Ailuropoda melanoleuca (giant panda), 728 nucleotides. RefSeq lists it as uncharacterized. The record is from RefSeq and is a predicted model, not a curated record. The transcript is spliced from 3 exons. NCBI's taxonomy places the organism in Eukaryota, Metazoa, Chordata, Mammalia, Carnivora, Ursidae.
CAGCUACUUAAUAUUUGGAAAGAAAGCAAAGAGAUGUAAUAAGGUGGCAAACACCAUUCUACACCUGCAGCCAUUCAAUAAAUAACAAUAACUGUCAGGCACGGACAUGAAGGUGACCCUCUUUCUUUGAGGUACAAUCACAGAAAAUACUCGCCACUGUGUUUUCUCUGAAUCAGUAGAUGCUGAAGUUUCUAAUACCCAAUGACUGUCCUUGAAGAUAUCUAGAAGAGUGGUAUUACAGUACCCGUUGGUGGUAUUACAGUAACAGUUGGGAUGUGGUCUGCCAAACCAUCCCUGAUGCUUCUGUUGACUUUUGCCAUAGGGGUUUUUCAUCUUGCUGUUUGGAACCAUUAUGGACCACAAGAUAAGAGAUGCUUUGAGGAUGAGGAUGUCUUCACUGAAGGGGAGAUCAAGGGCAGCAGAGAAUGCAUCUUUAAGCCCAACCAAUGGAUCUAAAUUAAUGAAUCGUUGAAGAUGAGAUGUGAGUAUUAAAAACUGAAGGAGAAUCUUUGCUUUCAAGUUGUGAUGAACUCCUUAAUGCCCCUUGUGAGCACACUAUUGCCUAUGGUGUGAUGGAGGAGUGAGGUGGGGAGGGAACUGGUGGAUAUAUAGUGCAGAUAUGAGAAACUUCUCUAUUGCCCAGCACAUAAAUGAAAAUAGGCACAUCUUUAAAACCUAUGUCAUCUCAGUGUAUAUGUCCAAAUCUUUUUAAAAAGUUUUUAUUUAAA